GAUGAACGCUGGCGGCGUGCCUAAUACAUGCAAGUCGAGCGAACGGACGAGAAGCUUGCUUCUCUGAUGUUAGCGGCGGACGGGUGAGUAACACGUGGAUAACCUACCUAUAAGACUGGGAUAACUUCGGGAAACCGUAGCUAAUACCGGAUAAUAUUUUGAACCGCAUGGUUCAAAAGUGAAAGACGGUCUUGCUGUCACUUAUAGAUGGAUCCGCGCUGCAUUAGCUAGUUGGUAAGGUAACGGCUUACCAAGGCAACGAUGCAUAGCCGACCUGAGAGGGUGAUCGGCCACACUGGAUCUGAGACACGGUCCAGACUCCUACGGGAGGCAGCAGUAGGGAAUCUUCCGCAAUGGGCGAAAGCCUGACGGAGCAACGCCGCGUGAGUGAUGAAGGUCUUCGGAUCGUAAAACUCUGUUAUUAGGGAAGAACAUAUGUGUAAGUAACUGUGCACAUCUUGACGGUACCUAAUCAGAAAGCCACGGCUAACUACGUG
Molecule: ribosomal RNA, 497 nt
Filed under: uncultured bacterium
Lineage: Bacteria
Description: partial 16S ribosomal RNA
Rfam family: Bacterial small subunit ribosomal RNA
Source: RNAcentral